RNAcentral lists this ribosomal RNA (108 nucleotides) under Anteholosticha antecirrata. Its description in RNAcentral is "5.8S ribosomal RNA". It matches the Rfam family "5.8S ribosomal RNA", at positions 8 to 117 of the family's 154-position model. Rfam says of the family: 5.8S ribosomal RNA (5.8S rRNA) is a component of the large subunit of the eukaryotic ribosome. It is transcribed by RNA polymerase I as part of the 45S precursor that also contains 18S and 28S rRNA. The record is from RNAcentral. Lineage: Eukaryota; Ciliophora; Spirotrichea; Urostylida; Holostichidae.
AACGAUGGAUAUCUUGGUUCCCAUAACGAUGAAGAACGCAGCGAAGUGCGAUAAGCAGUGCGAAUUGCAGAACCGUGAGUCAUCAGAUCUUUGAACGCAAAUGGCGCU